This 301-nucleotide ribosomal RNA is filed under the name uncultured bacterium. RNAcentral's name for it is "partial 16S ribosomal RNA". It matches the Rfam family "Bacterial small subunit ribosomal RNA", at positions 509 to 808 of the family's 1533-position model. The record is from RNAcentral.
CAGUAGCCGGGUAAUACGUAGGUGGCAAGCGUUGUCCGGAAUUAUUGGGCGUAAAGGGCCCGCAGGCGGUUUCUUAAGUCUGAUGUGAAAGCCCCCGGCUCAACCGGGGAGGGUCAUUGGAAACUGGGAAACUUGAGUGCAGAAGAGGAGAGUGGAAUUCCACGUGUAGCGGUGAAAUGCGUAGAGAUGUGGAGGAACACCAGUGGCGAAGGCGACUCUCUGGUCUGUAACUGACGCUGAGGAGCGAAAGCGUGGGGAGCGAACAGGAUUAGAUACCCGUGUAGUCCCUGUCUCUUAUACA